This 341-nucleotide long non-coding RNA is filed under the name Elaeis guineensis (African oil palm). Its description in RNAcentral is "long non-coding RNA (EGUI_LNC049799)". Lineage: Eukaryota; Viridiplantae; Streptophyta; Magnoliopsida; Arecales; Arecaceae. The record is from RNAcentral.
GCUCCUUCUUCGGCAACGGCAGUCGGCAUGGAGCAGUUUGACUUGCUAGUUCAGCAGGUCAGGGGCCUCACCGAAGCAGUGCAGGCCAUGCAACAGCAGCCGCAGGCAUCAGUGCGGCUGGAAAGAGCAUCGUCGGAGUUCCAGAAUCUGAUGACUGGGCGGGCCACUUGGGCAAGUCGCCCUAUCUUCUCCGGAAAGGAGAAGUAGAAGGCGGAGAGCCCACCAUCCGAUCACAAUUCCACCCCCAGAGAGUCCCUACCUCCGUUCCACCAGAAGACCCUCGAGACUCGCAGUCGAGAGGACCUCCUGGAUCAAAGAUUCUGAGAGAUGAACCGAUGGAU